RNAcentral lists this transfer RNA (88 nucleotides) under Paludisphaera borealis. It matches the Rfam family "tRNA". From Rfam's summary of the family: Transfer RNA (tRNA) molecules are approximately 80 nucleotides in length. Their secondary structure includes four short double-helical elements and three loops (D, anti-codon, and T loops). Lineage: Bacteria; Pseudomonadati; Planctomycetota; Planctomycetia; Isosphaerales; Isosphaeraceae. RNAcentral also lists the same sequence under 1 other name. The record is from Rfam by way of RNAcentral.
GGAGAGGUGACCGAGAGGCCGAAGGUGCGGCACUGGAAAUGCCGUGUACGCUAACCCCGUACCGAGGGUUCGAAUCCCUCCCUCUCCG